RNAcentral lists this ribosomal RNA (497 nucleotides) under uncultured bacterium. RNAcentral describes it as "partial 16S ribosomal RNA". It matches the Rfam family "Bacterial small subunit ribosomal RNA", at positions 28 to 507 of the family's 1533-position model. The record is from RNAcentral.
GAUGAACGCUGGCGGCGUGCCUAAUACAUGCAAGUCGAGCGAACAGACGAGGAGCUUGCUCCUCUGACGUUAGCGGCGGACGGGUGAGUAACACGUGGAUAACCUACCUAUAAGACUGGGAUAACUUCGGGAAACCGGAGCUAAUACCGGAUAAUAUAUUGAACCGCAUGGUUCAAUAGUGAAAGACGGUUUUGCUGUCACUUAUAGAUGGAUCCGCGCCGCAUUAGCUAGUUGGUAAGGUAACGGCUUACCAAGGCAACGAUGCGUAGCCGACCUGAGAGGGUGAUCGGCCACACUGGAGCUGAGACACGGUCCAGACUCCUGCGGGAGGCAGCAGUAGGGAAUCUUCCGCAAUGGGCGAAAGCCUGACGGAGCAACGCCGCGUGAGUGAUGAAGGUCUUCGGAGCGUAAAACUCUGUUAUUAGGGAAGAACAAAUGUGUAAGUAACUAUGCACGUCUUGACGGUACCUAAUCAGAAAGCCACGGCUAACUACGUG